UUUUGGGUUAGGUUUGUGUGGCUGCAUAGGUUUUGCUCGACACCUGUUUAGAAGGAGGGAGGGAGAGGGCAUGUGUCGUUUCUUUUUCUUCGGUGGUGUAUGAAAUCUCUGUAUCAUGGGUUGCGGCAUAAAACAACGAGGGCGGACUAAGAAGAUAUAUCGAUUUCGUUGGCGUCGUUUGUGUUCGAUAGGGAUAUUGAGGUGAUCGAGACAUCGAGUAAAGGAUUCAUUUUUGGGAAUUGUGGAAAGUACACUCGAGAUUAUAAGACGUGUUUCUUGUCUUCGGACGUGUUUUUGUCUUCGGACGUGUUUAUGUCUUCGGACGUGUUUUUGUCUUCAGACGUGUUUAUGUCUUCGGACCAUUCUUCGGACGAAAGUUACGAUACAGUAGAGCUCUAAUCUGUUUGCCGGAGUACUGCAUAAAUGGUAACAAAUGGGUUAUCGGCUUAUGAGUACCCAUAUUUUGGAUAUUGGGUACCAAGUGGUUGCCCAAUGUCGGCGGCGUACUAUCAUGAGGAGUAACAGAGGUGUACCAGCGCUCAUUAGUACCUGUAUUAUAAAUGCAUUUGGGCAAACAGAGAGGUUGCCCAAUUUCUCAUGAGCAUAUACAUUUGCAUUUUAUUAGACAACCAGAUGGGCCGUCUAAUGACUCAUGAGUACAUUUAUGAUUGAUGUUAUGUGGUGGAGUUUCGUAUAUAUUUUUAUGCGAGUCAUAUUGUUGUUUUACUCAUACGAGCUGCAAAGCUUACCUGGUUUGUGUUUACAAUCCCGGUGCACAUGUUCGAUAGUGUAGGGGAUAAUUCCGCAUGUAUGGAUUAGUGAAAA
Long non-coding RNA from Argentina anserina (silverweed cinquefoil), 825 nucleotides. RefSeq lists it as uncharacterized. The transcript has 3 exons. NCBI's taxonomy places the organism in Eukaryota, Viridiplantae, Streptophyta, Magnoliopsida, Rosales, Rosaceae. The record is from RefSeq and is a predicted model, not a curated record.